CAGUGGAUCACUCGGCUCACGGGUCGAUGAAGAACGCAGCCAGCUGCGAGACUUGGUGUGAAUUGCAGGACACAUUGAGCACUGAUUUUUCGAACGCGCAUUGCGCCCU
RNAcentral lists this ribosomal RNA (109 nucleotides) under Latrodectus hasseltii (redback spider). Its description in RNAcentral is "5.8S ribosomal RNA". It matches the Rfam family "5.8S ribosomal RNA", at positions 10 to 119 of the family's 154-position model. Rfam says of the family: 5.8S ribosomal RNA (5.8S rRNA) is a component of the large subunit of the eukaryotic ribosome. It is transcribed by RNA polymerase I as part of the 45S precursor that also contains 18S and 28S rRNA. Lineage: Eukaryota; Metazoa; Arthropoda; Arachnida; Araneae; Theridiidae. RNAcentral also lists the same sequence under 1 other name. The record is from RNAcentral.